Papaver somniferum (opium poppy) is the source of this 1192-nucleotide long non-coding RNA. RefSeq lists it as uncharacterized. The record is from RefSeq and is a predicted model, not a curated record. The transcript is spliced from 2 exons. NCBI's taxonomy places the organism in Eukaryota, Viridiplantae, Streptophyta, Magnoliopsida, Ranunculales, Papaveraceae.
UCUUUUCUUCUUCACCUCUCUCGUUCUUCUUUUCUUUUCUUUUCUUCUUCUGUUUUCUUCUCCGGUGAUUCUGAGAAUCGAUUUGAGGGAAUCGAUCGAUGAUGUUGUUAGUAUAUAAUCAAUGAAGGUUUGGUGGUGGUGUUCAUGUUGGUUGAUCAUGAGAAGAAGAGGAGAUGACGAUCUAUAGAGAAACCAGAUAGUUCAAGCCAUGGAAGAAUUGAUUAAUUGAAGGAGGAUUUGAUUAGUUGGUGAUGAAGAACAAAAGGGGUUAGUAUUUAAUUGAAGUUCUGAAGAUGAUUCGAUGAUGAAUUGAUAAGUUAGGGUUUCAUGAGGAGAGCUCGGAGAAGAUUUAAAAAGUGAAUAUGAUGCUAUACAUAGAUGAUUAGAAGUGGGUUUAGUCGAUUGAGAAACAGGGUGAAGUUAAUUAGAUGUUGGGGAUGUUCUGAGGAAGAAUUGAAGAAUUACGGUUCAUGUGUUCUUCCCCAAAUUAGAAAUAGGUUUUUGAGAAUUGAAUCAGAUGUUGGUUUGAAGCUAAUGAAGAACUUGGGUUUGAUUCUCGUGUAAAGAUGAGGAUUGCUAUUGAGGAGUUGUUAUUAGUCCUGAGAUGAGUUGAUGAAUGGAGUCAGGUGAAGGAGAACUGAAUUCAAUUGCGUGAGCAACACUGUUUUGAGGGAAGGGGGUAGGAGGUCUGUUGAUUGAGAAUUGGAACUAGGAUGAGAAUUAGGUAUUGCAGUUGAUAUGGAUUGUUUUGGUUGUAUUCUGGGUUUGUAAUUGAGUUACAAUAAAUGCGUUUAUGCUAAUAUGAAAUGGAAAUAGAGUUGCAGUUGAACUGAGUUGCAAGUGGAAUUGGAUGCUAAUGCAGGAUGUGGUAGCUAUGGUGUUGUUGCUCAGUUGGUGGUGUGAGAUGGAUAUUGCAGAUAGAACCAAUGUGUGUGUGUUGCAGAUGAAGAAGUUGUUUACACUAGAGUUGAACUAUUGGAACUGAAUUGUUUGGUGGCUGGCGUUGAUGGUGUUAAGCUAAGACUGAAAUACAGAAGUAUGCAAUAUUGGUGAUGUUGCUUAGAGUUGGACUUGUAGUUAGCAAUUGCUGAGAAAGCUUGGAACUGCUAGUGUUGUAGGUAGGCUUAAAAUUACAGUUGUAUUGAAUUGUUGAAUUCUAUUUGAAUAAAUGAAAUGUUUAGUAGUUGUAUAA